UUUUAUUGUUGAAAACCAAAUGCUGCAAUACUCAGGGUGUUCUCCUUGCCACUAAGGUUGGAUACCGAUGAUGAGACUAAAAUAUAUUAUCAGAAGCUAAGGACAACACUGGGGACAUUUUUUUCCUCCUCCUCCGAUCAAUCGAUAGAUAGAUAGACGUUUUUGGUGACGAUUGUAUUUGAAUUUACGCAGAGUUUGAAGCAAUAGUUCCCAAAGAUGCAUACAUGAAACUGAAGAGUAAUGAUUCUGCUACGUAGAUUUUUUUUACAAUACUAAGCUAAUAUGGACUGUGUUGAGAUUCUGUUUGUUCGUGACUGUGAGACGAUGAAGACACAACCUCAGGGUAUCAUACUGCUGUGUUGGUGAGCACAGAUUUAUAAUUAGGACUAUCAUUUAUAAUUAAAUUACUAUAUAUCUUAUUAAUUAUGGCGUUUCAA
This is a long non-coding RNA of Saccostrea echinata, 437 nucleotides long. RefSeq lists it as uncharacterized. The record is from RefSeq and is a predicted model, not a curated record. The transcript has 3 exons. NCBI's taxonomy places the organism in Eukaryota, Metazoa, Mollusca, Bivalvia, Ostreida, Ostreidae.